GACGAACGCUGGCGGCGUGCUUAACACAUGCAAGUCGAACGGAAAGGCCCCUUUGGGGGUACUCGAGUGGCGAACGGGUGCGUAACACGUGAGUAACCUGCCCUUGACUUCGGGAUAACUUCAGGAAACUGGGGCUAAUACCGGAUAGGAAUCCUUGCUGCAUGGUGGGGGUUGGAAAGCUUCGGCGGUUUUGGAUGGACUCGCGGCUUAUCAGCUUGUUGGUGGGGUAGUGGCUUACCAAGGCUUUGACGGGUAGCCGGCCUGAGAGGGCGACCGGCCACAUUGGGACUGAGAUACGGCCCAGACUCCUACGGGAGGCAGCAGUGGGGAAUAUUGCACAAUGGGCGGAAGCCUGAUGCAGCAACGCCGCGUGCGGGAUGACGGCCUUCGGGUUGUAAACCGCUUUCAGCAGGGGCGAAGCUUGUGGUGACGGUGCCUGCAGAAGAAGCACCGGCUAACUACGUG
RNAcentral lists this ribosomal RNA (465 nucleotides) under uncultured bacterium. RNAcentral's name for it is "partial 16S ribosomal RNA". It matches the Rfam family "Bacterial small subunit ribosomal RNA", at positions 28 to 507 of the family's 1533-position model. The record is from RNAcentral.